UACAGAGGCCUCGAGCGUUAGGCGGAAUCACUGGGCUUAAAGCGUGUGUAGGCGGACUUCUAAGUACCUUGUGAAGUCCCACGGCUCACCCGUGGAACUGCUUGGUAUACUGGUUGUCUUGAGCCUUCUAGGGGCGAGUGGAACAAAUGGUGGAGCGGUGAAAUGCGUAGAUAUCAUUUGGAACGCCAAUGGUGAAAACAACUCGCUGGGGAAGUGCUGACGCUGAGACACGAAAGCCAGGGGAGCGAACGGG
RNAcentral lists this ribosomal RNA (253 nucleotides) under uncultured bacterium. RNAcentral describes it as "partial 16S ribosomal RNA". It matches the Rfam family "Bacterial small subunit ribosomal RNA", at positions 524 to 776 of the family's 1533-position model. The record is from RNAcentral.